AUCUAUUAAGUUAUGAGCUAUCUAGUAAGUCUCUGUUUCUAAUUCUUUUCAGUUUAAUUUCUGAUAAGUCCACUAUCUGAGGACAAUAUAUUAAAUAGAUUUUUGGAAGUAGGAGUUGGAAUAGGAGCUUGCUCUGUCCACUCUGUGCAUCACAGUACCUCCAGGAAUGGUGCAUCCCCC
Small nuclear RNA from Rattus norvegicus (Norway rat), 180 nucleotides. Ensembl annotates it as U2 spliceosomal RNA. The record is from Ensembl. Lineage: Eukaryota; Metazoa; Chordata; Mammalia; Rodentia; Muridae.